This 232-nucleotide ribosomal RNA is filed under the name uncultured bacterium. RNAcentral describes it as "partial 16S ribosomal RNA". It matches the Rfam family "Bacterial small subunit ribosomal RNA", at positions 118 to 346 of the family's 1533-position model. The record is from RNAcentral.
UGAGCAAUCUGCCCUUCUCUUUGGAAUAAGCGUUGGAAACGACGUCUAAUGCCGAAUACGACCUCCUUUCGCAUGAUCGGAGGUGGAAAGCUCCGGCGGAGAAGGAUGAGCUCGCGGCCUAUCAGCUAGUUGGUGUGGGUAAUGGCCCACAAGGCGACGACGGGUAGCCGGCCUGAGGAGGGUGACCCGGCCACACGUGGGACUGAGACACGGCCCAGACCUCCGUACGGGA